RNAcentral lists this ribosomal RNA (502 nucleotides) under uncultured bacterium. RNAcentral's name for it is "partial 16S ribosomal RNA". It matches the Rfam family "Bacterial small subunit ribosomal RNA", at positions 28 to 507 of the family's 1533-position model. The record is from RNAcentral.
GAUUAACGCUGGCGGCGUGCCUAACACAUGCAAGUCGAGCGGCAGCGAGUUUUACACUGAAUUCUGGAAGCUUCAAGUUGAAAGAGAAGAUUUAUUCAAGAAUUUUGUGUAAAAUGUCGGCGAGCGGCGGACGGCUGAGUAACGCGUGGGAACGUACCCCAAAGUGAGGGAUAACGCAUCGAAAGGUGUGCUAAUACCGCAUAUGGUCUUCGGAUUAAAGCCUUCGGGCGCUUUGGGAACGGCCUGCGUAAGAUUAGAUAGUUGGUGGGGUAAUGGCCUACCAAGUCGACGAUCUUUAACUGGUUUGAGAGGAUGAUCAGUCAGACUGGAACUGAGACACGGUCCAGACUCCUACGGGAGGCAGCAGUGAGGAAUCUUCCACAAUGGGCGAAAGCCUGAUGGAGCAACGCCGCGUGCAGGAUGAAGGCCUUCGGGUUGUAAACUGCUUUUAUAAGUGAGGAUUAUGACAGUAACUUAUGAAUAAGGAUCGGCUAACUACGUG